UUGAUGGAGAGUUUGAUCCUGGCUCAGGACGAACGCUGGCGGCGUGCUUAACACAUGCAAGUCGAGCGGAAAGGCCCCUUCGGGGGUACUCGAGCGGCGAACGGGUGAGUAACACGUGAGCA
Molecule: ribosomal RNA, 122 nt
Filed under: Actinomadura nitritigenes
Lineage: Bacteria; Bacillati; Actinomycetota; Actinomycetes; Streptosporangiales; Thermomonosporaceae
Also listed under: 1 other name
Description: partial 16S ribosomal RNA
Rfam family: Bacterial small subunit ribosomal RNA
Source: RNAcentral